This 1042-nucleotide ribosomal RNA is filed under the name uncultured bacterium. RNAcentral describes it as "bacterial SSU rRNA". It matches the Rfam family "Bacterial small subunit ribosomal RNA", at positions 336 to 1396 of the family's 1533-position model. The record is from RNAcentral.
UUCCUACGGGAGGCAGCAGUGGGGAAUCUUGCACAAUGGGGGAAACCCUGAUGCAGCGACGCCGCGUGAGCGAUGAAGCCCUUCGGGGUGUAAAGCUCUUUCGGCAGGGAAGAUGAUGACGGUACCUGCAGAAGCAGCUGCGGCUAACUACGUGCCAGCAGCCGCGGUAAUACGUAGGCAGCAAGCGUUGUUCGGAGUUACUGGGCGUAAAGGGUGUGUAGGCGGUUGCUUAAGUUUGGUGUGAAAUCUCCCGGCUCAACUGGGAGGGUGCGCCGAAUACUGAGUGACUAGAGUGCGGGAGAGGAAAGUGGAAUUCCUGGUGUAGCGGUGAAAUGCGUAGAUAUCAGGAGGAACACCGGUGGUGUAGACGGCUUUCUGGACCGUAACUGACGCUGAGACACGAAAGCGUGGGUAGCAAACAGGAUUAGAUACCCUGGUAGUCCACGCCCUAAACGAUGCAUAUUUGGUGUGGGUCAUUCAGUUGAUCCGUGCCGGAGCUAACGCGUUAAAUAUGCCGCCUGGGGAGUACAGUCGCAAGGCUGAAGCUCAAAGGAAUUGACGGGGGCCCGCACAAGCGGUGGAGCAUGUGGUUCAAUUCGACGCAACGCGAAGAACCUUACCUGGGCUCGAACGGCUGGUCAACGGCGGUGGAAACAUCGCUACCCCGCAAGGGGGUCCAGUCGAGGUGCUGCAUGGCUGUCGUCAGCUCGUGUCGUGAGAUGUUGGGUUAAGUCCCGCAACGAGCGCAACCCUUGUCCUGUGUUGCCAUGCCGAAAGGCGGAACUCGCAGGAGACCGCCAGCGAUAAGCUGGAGGAAGGUGGGGAUGACGUCAAGUCCUCAUGGCCUUUAUGUCCAGGGCUACACACGUGCUACAAUGGACGGUACAAAGCGCUGCUAACCCGCGAGGGGGAGCCAAUCGCAAAAAACCGUUCUCAGUUCGGAUUGCAGGCUGCAACUCGCCUGCAUGAAGCUGGAAUCGCUAGUAAUGGCAGAUCAGCACGCUGCCGUGAAUACGUUCCCGGGCCUUGUACACACCGCCAA